AAAAAAAGUUGCGCAGCUUUGCCAAAAGAGAACCCCCUUACACCCACAUCAUUCUUCUUCAACAGAAGAACUCCUCUUUAGCUGUGGUUCAUGAAAAAUAAAAAGAACAACCCAUUGCGCAAGAAGGAGAAGGGCCAUCUCUUCCGUCCCUGAACCAACAGUAAAACACCUCUAAAAAUCAACUAAACCCAGCUGAAAACUCACUCCAAAAUACCCCCCAAAAUCCAGCUUCUUCUCUACCAAAAGGAGUUCAAAGAAGUCGAG
RNAcentral lists this long non-coding RNA (264 nucleotides) under Nicotiana benthamiana. Its description in RNAcentral is "long non-coding RNA (NBEN_LNC022857)". Lineage: Eukaryota; Viridiplantae; Streptophyta; Magnoliopsida; Solanales; Solanaceae. The record is from RNAcentral.